CGGCGAGUGAAGCGGCAACAACUCAAAUUUGAAAUCUGGNCUUUGACCCGAGUUGUAAUUUGGAGAAGGUGUUUCGAGAAUGACAAGGUUCAAGUCCCCUGGAACAGGGCGUCAAAGAGGGUGAGAAUCCCGUAUGUGGCCGAUUGUCUAUCUCAUGUGAAACCCUUUCGACGAGUCGAGUUGUUUGGGAAUGCAGCUCUAAAUGGGUGGUAAAUUUCAUCUAAAGCUAAAUACCUGCCAGAGACCGAUAGCGCACAAGUAGAGUGAUCGAAAGAUGAAAAGCACUUUGAAAAGAGAGUCAAACAGUACGUGAAAUUGUUGAAAGGGAAGCGUUUGCAAUCAGACUCGUUUGCAGAAGCUCAGCCUUCCUUCGGGUUGGUGUACUCUUCUGUUUAACGGGCCAGCAUCAGUUUCGACGGUUGGAUAAAGGUUUUGGGAAUGUAGCUCUCUUCGGAGAGUGUUAUAGCCCGAAGCGUAAUGCAGCCAGUUGAGAUUGAGGUCCGCGCUUUUGCUAGGAUGCUGGCGUAANGGUUGCUAGCGACCCGUCUUGAMACACGGACCAAGGAGUCGACCAAUGACGCAAGUGUUUGGGUGWAAAACCCCUACGCGUAAUGAAAGUGAACGUAGGUGGGAGCCUUCGGGCGCACCAUCGACCGAUCUUGAUGUCUUCGGACGGAUUUGAGUAUGAGCAUUUUUGGUCGGACCCGAAAGAUGGUGAACUAUGCGCGGAUAGGGUGAAGCCAGAGGAAACUCUGGUGGAGGCUCGCAGCGGUUCUGACGUGCAAAUCGAUCGUCAAAUCUACGCAUAGGGGCGAAAGACUAAUCGAACCGUCUAGUAGCUGUAAGACUUUUCCUUUCGCUACUUGAGAAUGAUUACUAAUGUGAAAUAGGGUUCCUGCCGAA
This 903-nucleotide ribosomal RNA is filed under the name Graphis centrifuga. Its description in RNAcentral is "LSU rRNA". It matches the Rfam family "Eukaryotic large subunit ribosomal RNA", at positions 87 to 1407 of the family's 3401-position model. Lineage: Eukaryota; Fungi; Ascomycota; Lecanoromycetes; Ostropales; Graphidaceae. The record is from RNAcentral.